This 460-nucleotide ribosomal RNA is filed under the name uncultured bacterium. Its description in RNAcentral is "partial 16S ribosomal RNA". It matches the Rfam family "Bacterial small subunit ribosomal RNA", at positions 338 to 795 of the family's 1533-position model. The record is from RNAcentral.
CCUACGGGAGGCAGCAGUGAGGAAUAUUGGUCAAUGGACGCGAGCCUGAACCAGCCAAGUAGCGUGAAGGAUGACUGCCCUAUGGGUUGUAAACUUCUUUUAUACAGGAGUAAAGUGAGGUACGUGUGCUGUGUUGUAUGUACUUUAUGAAUAAGGAUCGGCUAACUCCGUGCCAGCAGCCGCGGUAAUACGGAGGAUCCGAGCGUUAUCCGGAUUUAUUGGGUUUAAAGGGAGCGUAGAUGGGUUGUUAAGUUAGUUGUGAAAGGUCGCGGCUCAACCGUGGAACUGCAUUUAAUACUGGUGGUCUAGAGUGCAGUUGAGGUAGGCGGAAUGCGUGGUGUAGCGGUGAAAUGCUUAGAUAUCACGAAGAACACCGAUUGCGAAGGCAGCUUACUAAACUGCCACUGACAUUGAGGCUCGAAAGCGUGGGUAGCAAACAGGAUUAGAUACCCCAGUAGUC